This 308-nucleotide ribosomal RNA is filed under the name uncultured bacterium. RNAcentral describes it as "bacterial SSU rRNA". It matches the Rfam family "Bacterial small subunit ribosomal RNA", at positions 497 to 793 of the family's 1533-position model. The record is from RNAcentral.
CUAACUACCGUGCCAGCAGCCGCGGUAAUACGGAGGGUGCGAGCGUUAAUCGGAAUUACUGGGCGUAAAGACGCAUGCAGGCGGCCUGUUAAGUCAGAUGUGAAAGACCCGGGGCGUUAACCUCGGAAUUGCAUUUGUAAACUAGGCAGGCUAGAGUCUUGUAGAGGGGGGGUAGGAAGUUUCAGGUGUAGCGGUGAAAUAGCGUAGAGAUCUGAAGGAAUACCAGUGGCGAAGGCGGCCCCCUCGGACAAAGACUGACGCUCAGAUGCGAAAGCGUGGGGAGCAAACAGGAUUAGAUACCCUGGUAG